UCKCCAGAGUACUACGAGCACCAGCUUAAAACUCAAAGGACUUGGCGGUGCUCCAGACCCCCCUAGAGGAGCCUGUUCUAGAACCGAUAAUCCCCGUUCAACCUCACCACCCCUUGUUUUAACCGCCUAUAUACCGCCGUCGUCAGCUUACCCUGCAAAGGCUAAACAGUAAGCAAAACGGGCACAGCCCAGAACGUCAGGCCGAGGUGUAGCGUACGAGGUGGGAAGAAAUGGGCUACAUUUUCUACAUUAGAAUAUUUUACAAACGGCACCCUGAAACCACGUGCCCGAAGGUGGAUUUAGUAGUAAAAAGCAAAUAGAGAGUCCUUUU
Molecule: ribosomal RNA, 331 nt
Filed under: Eigenmannia sp.
Lineage: Eukaryota; Metazoa; Chordata; Actinopteri; Gymnotiformes; Sternopygidae
Description: partial 12S ribosomal RNA
Rfam family: Bacterial small subunit ribosomal RNA
Source: RNAcentral